GCUCUCGUGGUGUAGUGGUUAUCACGUCUGCUUUACACGCAGAAGGUCCCAGGUUCGAACCCCGGCGAGAGCA
RNAcentral lists this transfer RNA (73 nucleotides) under Procambarus clarkii (red swamp crayfish). RNAcentral describes it as "transfer RNA valine (anticodon UAC)". It matches the Rfam family "tRNA". Rfam says of the family: Transfer RNA (tRNA) molecules are approximately 80 nucleotides in length. Their secondary structure includes four short double-helical elements and three loops (D, anti-codon, and T loops). Lineage: Eukaryota; Metazoa; Arthropoda; Malacostraca; Decapoda; Cambaridae. The record is from RNAcentral.